UUCAAACUAAUAAGUAAUCACAUGCAUGUUUCGACUUUGAAUACAAGUGAUAUUUUUUAAGGCAGCAAAGUCACUCAACGUAUGAAAAUAACCUACCAUAGUCAUUUCAAACUUUUUUGGGACAAUAAAGUCACUAACUAUUAUUCCAAAGACCAGAUUUUUUGCCUUUUGUUUUCAUCAUUAUCUUGUGGGUAUAAGAAUUUGCAGGAUUAAUGAGUUCUUGGGUACAUGACUUGGACAUUACUGCUUAACAAUUUGUCUAAAAACCUAUCAACUUUUCCUUCGACUUCAUGUGGGGAUUUACAUACGACCACUCACUCCAUUUCAAUUCAUUUGUCGCAUAAUGAUUUGACACAGAGUUUAAGAAAGUAAAGAAGACUUUUGGAUCAUAUGGUCCUACAUUAAAGGUAUGUAUCUCUAAUCAAUUUUACUUAUUUUUUGUCAUUUAUCUUUUGUGUAGGUUCUACUGUUUGCCAUUUUCUAAAAUACAGAAUUGUUAAUUAAACUGUUUUCUGUCAAUCUAGUGAUACUUUCUGCAAGUACACAGAUGUCUUUUACAACCCUGAAAUCCCUGAGGGCCGGUUAGCACAUGGUUUGAAGCUUGGUUGAUUAUAUGCUCACCCUUCUCUACUAAAAGGCAUUUGUACUGGGUUCCAACUCGUGACAUAUGUGUAAAUCACACAUCACGCAGCUCCUACCUCUGAACCAAAGGCCUGCAAGUAUCUGAAAGUUUUCUAUUUUCAUAGUAAUUAACUAGGUAUACAGGUGCUCAGGAAAUUAAAAGACCCGAAGAAGAUUCGAGAGUGCUGAACUCAGAUAGUGCUUGUUGCUGCAUAGAAUGAGCUUUUAGUUAAAGUUGAUUUUUAUUUGCAUCUAGGAGAAAAUAUCAAAUGAAGAGUACAACAUUUGAGGAUUAAGUGAUACACAUUUUUUGUAAGAAACAAUACUUUUGAAUAAUUUGGGAUAUGCUAAAAUGGAUUAACUUUACAAGAGGUAAGUGAGCAAUAAAAACAAUGCAGACCAAAGAGUUUAGCAGAAUAACAAUUUAGAAGAAGCUUACAUGGAAAGCUUGGUCCGACAAGCAGAAUAGAGAAACGUUCAACCUAAUGAACGGAUGCCCCUCAAACUGGUCCUUUGCAACGGAUACUGCUAUGAACGCAUCCCUGUUAGUAGUACAACAUUCUCAUGAGAAGUUGUUCUUGAGCAUACAAUUUGCAUUUUGUACCGCAGAAACUUCCUACCUGAAUCCAUAGAAACAAUCUAAACGUAGCAUCAUCAGUGAGAAUUAUUUGAUACCUUUCAUUGGCUUCACCAUAGCACCUGAAUAGAUAUGACAAAUACUGAAAUUCUUCUUGUUUCGUACAGGUUGGGAAUGGGGAGGUCAGACAUUAAUCAUCAUCAUAUACAUAUAUGUUAAGUGGCAUCUGAGACCAAGAAUAGAAAUAUGUGUCUCAAACUUAUUCACUUCUAUCUUUGAAUUUAGAAUCAAAAUACUCCUUGUCUUUUAACAUGAAGCACUAACAGUCCUCCGUGUUUCAAGAAUUGGUACACUUUUAAUACUUUCUCAAACAACUAUCUAAUUUUUAACGGACUUACAAGCUAUCCACAGUGAGAAAAUUUUCCCUUCAAAUCUCAGUCUUUGUUUCCCCUGUCCCUCCACUUCCAUAUCUAACCAGGAUUCUUAUUUGUCUCUUAUUCAAAUCAAACCCAAUAAUCAAAAUUCUAUUUAGAAUUUCACUUAAAACUUAAUCGAUUAUCGAAAUCAAUUAUUUUGUUAAGACCCAAUAAUGGCAGAGAAUCA
RNAcentral lists this long non-coding RNA (1801 nucleotides) under Solanum tuberosum (potato). RNAcentral describes it as "long non-coding RNA (STUB_LNC010103)". The record is from RNAcentral. Lineage: Eukaryota; Viridiplantae; Streptophyta; Magnoliopsida; Solanales; Solanaceae.